Dioscorea cayenensis subsp. rotundata (Guinea yam) is the source of this 1846-nucleotide long non-coding RNA. RefSeq lists it as uncharacterized. The record is from RefSeq and is a predicted model, not a curated record. The transcript is spliced from 11 exons. Lineage: Eukaryota; Viridiplantae; Streptophyta; Magnoliopsida; Dioscoreales; Dioscoreaceae.
AGAGCCACAUCAAGAAGGUCACCGGAAAUCUCAAUGCUAAAAAAGAUUUGACUUUUUUCUAAUUUUCUUAACUGGAAUUUACUAUGAAAAAUCGAAAAAUGGCAGCUCAAAUCAAACAUUUAGAUCUUCUCGGAGUUCCAUCACUCCCCUUUCUAGACCAUCAAGAACUCUCGUCAUCACUGCGGAGGAUGUGAGUGAUUUUGUGGCCUUGCGUCAAAGAGGGUUUCGAGCAGGGAUUGCCAUUCAGGAAGGCGUGCAAUCGCAGCAAUCCUGUGACUGAGUCGAGGCUGCGCAGUCGGUGUUUUGGUUCCGGGAGCCAUGUGAUGUUGUUGUUCUUGUGACCUGUGAGACGAUUUUGAAGCCACGCUUGAAGCUGAUCCUUCAAAAUGAGGAGAAGGAAUGAUUCAUUGCUUUUGUAUCAAAGGCUCAUCCCAGCAAUGACCCACGAAGAUGGCAAAGAAAAUAUAUGCAAAGCUUCAAGUUGAUUUCAGCUUGAAAAAGAGGGAGAGGUGCUGCAAAUUAGAUUUUCAUGGAACCGAAUCCAUUUUUUGGGAAGAUUUGGAGUCCAAAAUGGUAAAUCAAUCACAAACACGGAGGACAGAUGUGUUCAAUUUUAUGAGGAAGAAAUUCGUAAAUUAAGUGAACAACGUUAGCUGCUUGUGUGGAAACUUUUUUAACUUUUUUUAUUCUUAAGGAAAGCUUAGCUUUUAUGUAUGAGAUGGCUCAUCUUCAUGAAGACUCAUUACAUGAAUAUGAUGAACUAGAGCUUUGCUACCUAGAAGUAGGUUGGUUUGUUUUCCCUCUUCAGCAAUUGGAAAUUGCUUCUGCAUAUUAUAUACCAUUCUUGCCUUGUGUUGUUUUGAGAAACUGGUACUAUAUUAGAUGUUUCUCUUUGGAACUGCAACCAUAAAAUUGCUUGAUCAUACUAUACAACUGUAUUGUUCUUUAUUGACAUAGCUAACUUAGUUAGUGCUAUGCAGUAAGUAGUAAAUACACCUGUUAGACAGAGGGAUUUUGGAGGAUUGGAUCAUGGCGAUGAUCAGGCUGCCCUGCUGAAUUCUGUAUUCAAGCCAUUGACUUGUUAGAGAGUUUGAGUUUAGACAAUACCUCUUUGCAUGCCAAUCAAAGUUAUUAUUCAAACUUUCUUGGCCAGUUGAGGUUGCUGCAAGAGGCUAUGCAUUUAUCUUCAGUUUCUGAAAGACGCUAGCCUUGCAUGAGAGCAAGGUUGAGGGACAAGAUCCCACUUGUGAGUCCGAGACAAAGCAUCAAGUUCCUCGGCCAUGGCAGUCCGCCACUCAAGAAACAGAAUACUGUUGCCAAGUCCAGUGCUGAGGCUGAGUACUGGGGCACUUCAGAUUGCUACAGAUCCGGUCAAGCAUGAGCUGACCAAACACAUAGGUGUGGAUGCCCACUUCACUCGAUGUCAUGUACGUGCCCAGGCUGUGUCACUUCACUAUCUUCCUACAGAGGUCCAAGUGGCUGAUUUCUUUACCAAAGCACAGACGCGCGAUCAACAUCUAUUCAUGUUAUCCAAACUCAAGACGCAUGAUCCGCUUUGAGUUUGAGGGGGGGUGUUAAAUAUAUAUAUAUAUUUACCUCUGAUGUUGAGAAGGAGUUCUAUCGUCUGCAGUGUGAUCUUUAAACACUUUGUCUGAUUAAGUUUAUGAGACUCACUUAUCUGAUGGGGGUAUAAAGUGGAAAUAGAAAGAAGCCCAGCUAACAGGUUUUAUCUGGACCUUGAUUGAAAUAUUCUCUGUUCAGUGCCUUGUUAAGCAUCCUGGCCUAGGCCAGCAGCUUCGCCUGUAGUUUCCCCUGAUGCUUCAUCUGAAGUUCUUCCAAAGGAGAA